Molecule: ribosomal RNA, 268 nt
Filed under: uncultured bacterium
Lineage: Bacteria
Description: partial 16S ribosomal RNA
Rfam family: Bacterial small subunit ribosomal RNA
Source: RNAcentral
UGGCGACCGGCGCACGGGUGAGUAACGCGUAUGCAACUUACCUAUCAGGAGGGGGAUAACCCGGCGAAAGUCGGACUAAUACCGCAUGAAGCAGGGGCCCCGCAUGGGGAUAUUUGCUAAAGAUUCAUCGCUGAUAGAUAGGCAUGCGUUCCAUUAGGCAGUUGGCGGGGUAACGGCCCACCAAACCGACGAUGGAUAGGGGUUCUGAGAGGAAGGUCCCCCACAUUGGUACUGAGACACGGACCAAACUCCUACGGGAGGCAGCAUG